GAUGAACGCUGGCGGCGUGCCUAAUACAUGCAAGUCGAGCGGAAACAGGUGAUGGUUGCCUCACGAGUGGCAACCGGGGGCGGAUGAGUAACGCAUGGGCAACCUAGCGGUGAGAAAGGGAGAGCAAGCGGAAACAAGAGCGAAUACCGGCUAAGAAUUUGAGCAGGAGGGUUCAAGAGUGAACGAGGGUGGUGCGGCCACUGACAGAUGGAGCGGCGCUGGAUUAGCUAGUUGGUAAGGUAAAGGCUUACCAAGGCAACGAUGAAUAGCCGGCCUGAGAGGGUGACCGGCCACACUGGAACUGAGACACGGCCCAGACUCCUACGGGAGGCAGCAGUGGGGAAUUUUGGGCAAUGGGCGAAAGCCUGCCCGAGCAACGCCGCGUGCGUGAUGAAGGUCUUCGGGUUGUAAACUUCUUUUGUUCGGAACGAACAUGUGUGUGCUUAACUGUGCAGCUCUUGACGGUACCUAAUCAGAAAGCCCCGGCUAACUACGUG
Molecule: ribosomal RNA, 497 nt
Filed under: uncultured bacterium
Lineage: Bacteria
Description: partial 16S ribosomal RNA
Rfam family: Bacterial small subunit ribosomal RNA
Source: RNAcentral